RNAcentral lists this ribosomal RNA (253 nucleotides) under uncultured bacterium. RNAcentral describes it as "partial 16S ribosomal RNA". It matches the Rfam family "Bacterial small subunit ribosomal RNA", at positions 524 to 776 of the family's 1533-position model. The record is from RNAcentral. RNAcentral also lists the same sequence under 1 other name.
UACGUAGGGUCCAAGCGUUAUCCGGAAUCACUGGGCGUAAAGCGUGCGUAGGUGGUCUGUUAAGUGAGAUAUUAAAGCGUGUGGCUCAACCAUAUCGUUGUGUCUCAUACUGGCAGACUAGAGGACGGCAGAGGCAAGUGGAAUUACUAGUGUAGCAGUGAAAUGCGUAGAUAUUAGUAGGAACACCAAUGGCGAAGGCAGCUUGCUGGGCCGCCCCUGACACUGAGGUACGAAAGCGUGGGGAGCGAACAGG